AUAUUUCCAUCGAUAUUUCCGUGUUUUCGGACUACCGAUAUUUCCGAUAUUACCGAUAUUUUCUUCCUUGGUUAUUACAAUGCUCGACCGCUCGUUACUACUCAAACAUUGAAUAAAAACACAAUGAAAUAUCCCUUCUGAAUUAGUAAUGGUCUGACAGAGAAAUUGUUUGGGCACAGCUUGCAACAUUACUCUAGAGCGAUUGAUAACUUGGUAGAUCGGUCUUUGAAAUAGAUUAGUUCUAAGGUUGUAAGCAUGAUCCCAUUAAAGAGUUUGUGAGGGAGAAUCGUCAGCACAAAGUAUUAUUCAGCUCUUUUAAGCUAAUAAUAUCACUUCUAGAUUUUAAGAUCUGGUAGAUCACAUUUGGUAUACUAAUCCCCUUUGAAAUUGGAUAUGUGUGUGAGCGGUGCAGGGAAUGCUCUUCUUUCAAUUGCGGUCACUCAGUACUGUUGAAUCACUUACUGUCACAUUCUUCAGCAGCAGCCUGGUUUCUUGAAUUCAUAUUUGCUUUCAAAUAUCAUCAAAUCAUUUUAAACUAUCUUCCAUUGUUUACCAAGGAUUUGAUCCGCAUCUUUGCCCUUAUACCAAGGAUUUGAUCCGCAUCUUUGCCCUUAUACCUAUUUGAGGACUCAAACAGGAGACAGUAAGAUUAUUGGAAAGGCGGAAGUUAAAAGUAUUUUUACUAGCCAAGUCAAUUUAUAAAUUAAAUUCCAGUUAACAGUUUUUCUAGAGUAUUAACUGUUAAGAAAUUUGACUAAAAGGCAUAGUUAAGGUUUUCCAGGGUUCAGAGAAUUAGUGUUUGCUUUGACUUUAUAAUUUGUAUCUCUUAUAAAAUAACUCAAAUUAGUAGCAUUCCAUGCAUACUGUCUUGAAGAUUGUGUAUUUACCUGCCAAUUUAUGAUUUAAGCUGUUGAAGUAAUAAUAGAAAAUAUGAAAAUAACAAAAAGAAUUACAAUAAUAAUAGUUACAAAGAGAUUCACAACAUCAAUUAUGUAUAAGAUUAAUAUAAACAACUAGAGAGAAAGUUAGAAAAACUGACAAACUUGGAGAUUGAGGCUUGCAUAAAUGCAAUGUCCUAAAGAUAAAAUUUCACCCCUACUCUUGUGCUUGUAGUUCGGUAAGCGUCUGUCUCCCAUGAUUCAACAAUCUAUAAUCCGAAGUCGAAACACUUCAAUCUUCGGACUCAGGUGAACUUCAUAUAUUAUGUACUCUCAAGACACGACUCGAAAUUUGACUAACAAAGAAUAAAAGACCUUAGAGAAAAACUCUUCUCUGUUUUUAAUUCUUCUAUUUCUCUCACGGCUAUACUAAUGUGAGUUUAUAUAAAACCUAAGAUACUGAUUGAUUAAGAGAUAAAAACAUUCAUCUAUUGGAUGAUACCUUUACCAAGGCAUGCCUUGAUCCCUUUCAAAUGGUUAAAUAUUUUUCAUUAAAUAUUAUAAUUAUUAAUAUUAUCUUUAAUAUUAGAAAGCCAGAAUGAGAGUUUGGUGUCUCAAGGCUUCACCAAAAAUAAUUGGACUAUAAAGCCCCUUAAACAAAAAAAUCCAUAACUAGCUAAAAAUAAUACAAACAAAAGAGCCAGGAUAAUUUUGUCAUAAAAAAAUAAAUUAACAAAAUAGUAGAAGCAGUUUAUUCCCACUACCGUGCGAGAAGAACACGCGUAAUGGAAGGAAACUGCAGUUUUCUUCCAACCGUACCAGCAUAAAUACAAAGGAGUUUUCUUCCCACUAAUUCACUCAGAUCCAACCGCACCAGCAACUUUCAUGUAAGCUCUGAUCUUCCUCUCACUCUAUCUCAAUUACCCAUUUGUUGGGUGAUAGGAGCAUUUUUAUGCGACUUAAUUGGCUUGUUCUCAUGCAUUUAUGUUGUUUUUCCUUAGUUAGUUUAGUGUUUAAAGUCAUUUUCGUGCAAUUUCAGGUUUUAUUGUCAAAGUAUGCAAAAAGGAGCAUUUUGGAGCUUUUAGGAGCAAAAUUGGGCUUGGAAUGAAGUGCAUAUGCAUGGAGCAAGGAGUUUGGACGAAUUUGAAGUGAAAACAUCAAAUGAACAUGCUAAAAAUCUGGUGAAACAAAUACAAAGUGCAAGAAGGGAUAGGUUUCUAGAAGGAUUGGCCAAAACUUCACUCAAAAACCUCAAUGCCGUGGCUUUUACUUAAAAGCAACCAGAAAUUUGAGUGGAUGAUGCAAUGCUUAACUCACCAUGACAUGUGAGUGGAUGAUGCAAUGCUUAGCUCACCAUGACAUGUGAGUGGAUGACUCAAAACCUACCCCAACAACAAUUCUCCACCAUUUCCGUGAGUUUACCUACCCAUUCCACCAGAAAUUUGUGCUUAAACAAGUCCAUCCUCUCCCUAUAAAUACCAUGCAGCAACCUCAUUCAAUUCAUCCAGAAAUUAACCAUUCUCCAAGCCUUUCCUUGCCUCUCCUACAUAUCUAAACCCCUUCCCAUCCAU
Molecule: long non-coding RNA, 2449 nt
Filed under: Malus domestica (apple)
Lineage: Eukaryota; Viridiplantae; Streptophyta; Magnoliopsida; Rosales; Rosaceae
Description: long non-coding RNA (MDOM_LNC019068)
Source: RNAcentral